RNAcentral lists this unclassified non-coding RNA (437 nucleotides) under uncultured Agaricomycetes. Its description in RNAcentral is "sequence contains ITS2". The stretch from base 1 to 154 matches the Rfam family "5.8S ribosomal RNA". Lineage: Eukaryota; Fungi; Basidiomycota; Agaricomycetes. The record is from RNAcentral.
AACUUUCAGCAAUGGAUCUCUUGGCGCUCGCAUCGAUGAAGAACGCAGCGAAAUGCGAUAAGUAAUGUGAAUUGCAGAAUUCAGUGAAUCAUCGAAUCUUUGAACGCACCUUGCGCUCCUUGGUAUUCCGAGGAGCAUGCCUGUUUGAGUGUCAGUAAUAUUCUCAAACCCUGACCGGCCUUUGUGGCUGCUUCGGGGAUUGGAUGUGGAGGCCAAUGCUGGACUUUGUGUUAAGGUCAGCUCCUCUGAAAUGCAUUAGUAGAAUGGUUUGCAAUUCUAUCAAUGGUUGUGAUAAUUAUCAACACCAAAGAGAGUUGCUUUCUGUCAUGUUCUGCUUCUAAUCAAUGUAUCCCCUUUGGGAACAUAUUGCUGAAUUCUUGACCUCAAAUCAGGUAGGACUACCCGCUGAACUUAAGCAUAUCAAUAAAGCGGAGGCU